Molecule: ribosomal RNA, 478 nt
Filed under: uncultured bacterium
Lineage: Bacteria
Description: partial 16S ribosomal RNA
Rfam family: Bacterial small subunit ribosomal RNA
Source: RNAcentral
GACGAACGCUGGCGGCGUGCUUAACAUAUGCGAGUCGAACGGUAAGGCCCUUCGGCGUACACGAGUGGCGAACGGGUGAGAAACACGUGGGACACCUGGCCUGCAAUUCCGGAUACGCCUGGCAAACUGGCUCUCAUACCGGAGAUGCCCACUGCCUGCAUGGGUGGUGGUGGAAAGCUUUUGCGGUGUGGGAUGGGCCCGCGGCCGAUCAGCUUGUUGGUGGGGUGAAGGCCUACCAAGGCGACGACGGGUAGCCGGCCUGAGAGGGUGACCGGCAACACUGGGACUGAGAUACGGCCCAGACUCCUACGGGAGGCAGCAGUGGGGAAUAUUGCACAAUGGGCGCAAGCCUGAUGCAGCGACGCCGCGUGAGGGAUGACGGCCUUCGGGUUGUAAACCUCUUUCAGCACCGACGAAGCGCAAGUGACGGUAGGUGCAGAAGAAGGACCGGCCAACUACGUGCCAGCCGCCGCGGUAA